RNAcentral lists this long non-coding RNA (673 nucleotides) under Mytilus galloprovincialis (Mediterranean mussel). The record is from RNAcentral. Lineage: Eukaryota; Metazoa; Mollusca; Bivalvia; Mytilida; Mytilidae.
UGGCCUUGAAUAAUCUUUCAGUUACUGAUAGUAUCUUAAGGUCUGCACUUUGUGUAUUAAGUUUUUAUUGUUGGCUAAAAAAAGUUUUGCUUUCCAUUGAUCAGAUUCGUCACUCUAUUUUCAACCGAUCUUUUUGUAGUUUGGUCAUAUGCUGUGGUGUUACACCACUGAACACGAUUAACAAAGGGCAUGAGAACCAUGUUAUCCUUCCAUCAUUUGUUUGUUCCUUUCCCACGUCAUAAACCUGUAAAGCAGGGGAUGUUGCCUAUAUCAUUUGUUUCUUUUAUUGUUUUGUAAAUGAAUCAGGCCUUCGUUUUUUCGUUCAAAUUAUAUUAUCUUUUUGAUUUUUGAUCAAUUUAUAGCUUGGUAUGCGAUAUUGGUUUGUGCUGACCUAUCGUUGUUAACUUCAACGACAUUUGGUAUCUAUCUCAUUUGCAAUCAUAUCAUGUAUUUCUAUUUUUACAUAUAUGCAUUUAACAUUAUUCGCUUAGUGUUAAGUUCGAUUUAAUGAGGUUUUGAUCAAUCAUAUUUGAAGAAAAAAAAACAAUUCAUUUGCAAGAAAGAUUUUAUUCAGAAAAGACAGAAGUUAGAAUGAAUAAUGAUUUUUUUUUAAUUACAAUAAUAUCAAAAUACUUAUGUACCGCUCUAAACAGUAUAGAUAAAUCUACAUUCA